ACGAGAGGACCGGGAUGGACUGACCUCUGGUGCACCAGUUGUCAUGCCAAUGGCACGGCUGGAUAGCCAAGUCGGGAACAGAUAAACGCUGAAAGCAUCUAAGCGUGAAACUGACCCCAAGAUGAGAUAUCCCACCGAGAGAUCGGGUAAGACCCCAUGCAGACGACGUGGUUGAUAGGUCAGGGGUGUAAGCGCAGUAAUGCGUUGAGCUAACUGAUACUAAUAGGUCGAGGGCUUGACCAAAAA
RNAcentral lists this ribosomal RNA (246 nucleotides) under Clostridiaceae bacterium. RNAcentral's name for it is "partial 23S ribosomal RNA". It matches the Rfam family "Bacterial large subunit ribosomal RNA", at positions 2683 to 2925 of the family's 2925-position model. The record is from RNAcentral. Lineage: Bacteria; Bacillati; Bacillota; Clostridia; Eubacteriales; Clostridiaceae.